Molecule: unclassified non-coding RNA, 465 nt
Filed under: uncultured fungus
Lineage: Eukaryota; Fungi
Description: sequence contains ITS1, 5.8S rRNA gene, ITS2
Rfam family: 5.8S ribosomal RNA (bases 186-340)
Source: RNAcentral
GUUCUCCUUAGUCCUCCUUUGCCUUUCCUUUGGAAAACCCUUUCUUCACACCCGUGCACCCAUUGUAGGUCUCCGCGAGGGGAUCUAUGUCUUCACAUAAACACUACGUAUGUCUAGGAAUGUAUCUAAAAGCGUCGGACGGCUUGGCUUCGUGCCCGGUCGGCGACGGUAAAGAACCAUAAUACAACUUUCAGCAACGGAUCUCUUGGCUCUCGCAUCGAUGAAGAACGCAGCGAAUUGCGAUAAGUAAUGUGAAUUGCAGAUUUUCAGUGAAUCAUCGAAUCUUUGAACGCACCUUGCGCUCCUUGGUAUUCCGAGGAGCAUGCCUGUUUGAGUGUCAUUUAAUUCUCAACCAUCCCUCGAUUCGUUUCGAGGGUUUGGCUUGGAUUUUGGGGGCUGCCGGGCGACCCUAGGGUCUUCGGCUCUCCUUAAAAGCAUUAGCGAUGGCGGCGCGAUCUAACCCCC